UGCCAGCCGCCGCGGUAAUACGAAGGGUGCCAGCGUUGUUCGGAAUUACUGGGCGUAAAGAGCAUGUAGGCGGAUGAAUUAGUCAGAGGUGAAAUCCCCGAGCUCAACUUGGGAACUGCCUUUGAUACUGGUUGGCUAGAGUUCGGGAGAGGGUAGUGGAAUUCCCAGUGUAGAGGUGAAAUUCGUAGAUAUUGGGAAGAACACCAGUGGCGAAGGCGGCUAACUGGCUCGGUACUGACGCUGAGAUGCGAAAGCGUGGGGAGCAAACAGGAUUAGAUA
Molecule: ribosomal RNA, 279 nt
Filed under: uncultured bacterium
Lineage: Bacteria
Description: partial 16S ribosomal RNA
Rfam family: Bacterial small subunit ribosomal RNA
Source: RNAcentral